GACGAACGCUGGCGGCGUGCUUAACACAUGCAAGUCGAGCGGUAAGGCCCUUUCGGGGGUACACGAGCGGCGAACGGGUGAGUAACACGUGGGUGACCUGCCCUCAGCUCUGGGAUAAGCCUGGGAAACUGGGUCUAAUACUGGAUAUGACUCCACGGUGCAUGUCGUGGGGUGGAAAGCCUUGUGCGGCUGAGGAUGGGCCCGCGGCCUAUCAGCUUUGUUGGGUGGGGUGAGGCCUACCAAGGCGACGACGGGUAGCCGGCCUGAGAGGGCGACCGGCCACACUGGGACUGAGAUACGGCCCAGACUCCUACGGGAGGCAGCAGUGGGGAAUCUUGCGCAAUGGGCGAAAGCCUGACGCAGCGACGCCGCGUGAGGGAUGACGGCCUGGUUGUAAC
This 398-nucleotide ribosomal RNA is filed under the name uncultured bacterium. Its description in RNAcentral is "bacterial SSU rRNA". It matches the Rfam family "Bacterial small subunit ribosomal RNA", at positions 28 to 429 of the family's 1533-position model. The record is from RNAcentral.